UAACAAACAGACAAUGGCUUCUCAGCUACCACAAGCACAGCGAACCCGGAGAACGCAAGGGGAUUCCGCAGCGGGUGAUCCCAGUCAUUUAUUCGUGAGAUUCACGCUCAAGACAAAUGACAGAGCCACCGGAAUCUGAUCACUGUACUCGUGAGAUAUACAGAUCCCCAAAUGCACAGCCAAGUCUGAAACUCAGGUGCUGGCCUCCAAAAAGAGCAGCAGCAAGUGUCCUGAACGUGAGGUUAAACAUUUCUGGAGUAAAUACGCGAUGACAAAAGCACUAACAUUGGAGCCAGGAGCACCUUGAAUACACCAGCACCCGAGUGGAGCCGGCAGUCACUCGUCAGCGGCACUAUUUAGGCGGUUCUCACUAAGUCACUAAAUUGUCCAGGUUAAGCUCAAUUGGCAAUCCUCCUGCCUCAGCCUCCCAACGUGCUGGAAUUACAGGCAUGUGGCACCACUGUACCCCACUAGCAAAGUUUUAAAGAGCCUCUUGCAAGGUUCUGAGAAAUGAUGGACUUUGAACAACACUGCUCUAAACCGACUGGCACAGGCCAAUUCAGACCAGUCCUGGGGACUGCAGUUCUAACUGGGCGUUUACUAACGCCCUGCUCUUGAGGCAUGACCAGUCUGAUGAUCCACUUAGUCCUCUUCACCGACGCCGACUCAGGUCUCCUAGCUCGACUUCUCCUUCUGGAUGUUCUGCUGUCACCUUGGCUACUCUGUCAGCAGAGCACGCGAAUCCACGGCAUGAUGGACUGAUACCACGUGCUCAGUUAUCUGAGAUGCGGCACUCAUCUUAUCCGAGAUGAUUACAGUUAUUCUUUACGAAGGCUGUUGGCAGAGAACUUCCCAAGUGCCAGGGACUGUGCUGAAGGAGAUAAUAGCCUACAUGAUUAUUUAUCACAUCAAAGCCUUAAGAGAGCAGAUUUGUUACUUUCCUGAUUUUAUGGGUAAGAAGAUGGAAGCCCAGACACCCCAGCUUGGUCACGGAACGAGAGCGUGGAGAGCCAGGGUUCGUGUCCACUCUCCGAUCUACUUCCCCAGCCCACCGCCCCUAGGAGGGGGUGGGUGCCACUCAACCAGCAAAGGACUCCUGAGCAUCUACUGUGAAGUUAUGAAGUGUUCGAUUCAGCAAAAUGGUAAAAGCUUGGAGAAGGUGCAGCUUGAUAAACCUCAGCUCUUGCAGGAGAAUUUGGGUUGAAUUUAAAUUACCCUAUGUUGGCGGCAUGAAAAUGGACCUUCAGGCUGUCAGGAAGAGCGCUGCAAAGUUCAUGCUGUUGAACUGAAAUAGAAGAGGGGACCUCAUGUGCUUCACGGAUUUUCCUCUGCUGUUCUCUGUGAGGCAUAGAAAGCUGUGUACAAGCAAAGCUGACUGCUGACUUUUGACGAAGGGUCUUAUUAUGCUGCUCUGAGGUUAUCUCUGCCACAGUCAUUUUCAUCAUAACAAUCUUUCCUCCCCUCCCUCUCCUGCUCCCUCCUUUUUCUUUCCGUUUUUCCUGAGCCCUCUUUCUAAGAAACUCAGGAGAGAUGAUGUUGGGCUUUAUCAUUCAAAGGAUUACAACCCCAAAGGCUUAGUUUUACUAGCUGUCAAAAAUAUCAAAGCUACGGGCUGAGGAUUUAGCUCAGCGGCACAGCGCCUGCCUGGCAACUGCAAGGUCAUGAGUUUGAUUCCCGGUACCAGAAAAAAAUAAAAAUAAAAAAAUAAAUAGGUUAAAUAAAAAAAUAGCAAAGCUACUGUUUAAGGAGACUAAUAUUCUUUCAGAAACCGUUCAGGGCUUUGAAUGACAGUUUGAAGACUCUCAAGUAAUUUCUGAGAUUUUCCAAUGCGACAUGGAGCAGCUCUCUCCCUGGGUUGUUUUACACCUGAGAAUCAAAAGGAAGCAUCUUAGGGUGUUUGGCCUGCAGUUUUCAGAUGGACUCCACUGGCAGCUUCCAAGCCUUGCAUAUUAAUGAGCUGAUUUAUUUAUUUAGGUGUGCCAUGCAUUAUAAUAGCUUGAUAACUCCGAGGAACAUUGAAACCAUUUCCAAUAGGCAUUACUUAGAUAUUAAAAAUUCUACCAGAAACAUUUGGUGAUCAGUUCACAUUUCUUUGAAAGGAAUUUAAGCGUAUUUUGAUGACAAUACAGUUCAACCAAAACAGAAGAAAAGUUGGGAUGAAAUUUUAAUACAGUGUGAGACUAUCAGCAAUAUUGUUUACCAGAUCCACAAAUCGAGGAAACUGGGCCUACUGGAAAUUUCAAGGGUCUAUACAGGUUGAGAGUCCAAGUUUUGCACUUUGCUACAAUGCUCCCAUGAAAUGGAACUAGAAUAACUAGGCAAAUUUCCCAGCCAAGGUAGAUUUCAUUUAAUGACAAAUAUAUUCAGGAAACAUGCUCAAGUUUUAUGUAAGCUAUAUAUUAAUUUUCCUGUUUCUGCCUAGUCAUAAUUUUAGUUGAAGAACAAGAGCCCAACAUAUAAAAAUGAUGUUUUCAGGCCGGGUGUGGUGGCGCACACCUGUAAUCCCAGCACUUGGGAGGCUGAGG
Molecule: long non-coding RNA, 2525 nt
Organism: Chinchilla lanigera (long-tailed chinchilla)
Lineage: Eukaryota; Metazoa; Chordata; Mammalia; Rodentia; Chinchillidae
Exons: 3
Source: RefSeq, a predicted model, not a curated record